AGCGAACGUUAGCGGCGGGCCUAACACAUGCAAGUCGAACGAGAAAAUCCCUUCGGGGGUGAGUACAGUGGCGCACGGGUGAGGAACGCGUAGGUAAUCUACCCUCUGGCGGGGGACAACACUCCGAAAGGAAUGCUAAUACCGCGUAAGACCACACCUACUACGGUAGGAGCGGUUAAAGGUGGCCUCUUCUUGAAAGCUACCACCAGAGGAUGAGCCUGCGUCCCAUCAGCUUGUUGGUAAGGUAACGGCUUACCAAGGCAAAGACGGGUAGCUGGUCUGAGAGGAUGAUCAGCCACACUGGCACUGGAACACGGGCCAGACUCCUACGGGAGGCAGCAGUGAGGAAUAUUGGGCAAUGGGCGAAAGCCUGACCCAGCCACGCCGCGUGAGUGAUGAAGGCCUUCGGGUCGUAAAGCUCUGUGGGGAGGGACGAAAAAUCUCCGUUCAAAUAGGGCGGAGCCUUGACGGUACCUCCUUAGCAAGCACCGGCUAACUCUGUG
RNAcentral lists this ribosomal RNA (503 nucleotides) under uncultured bacterium. RNAcentral's name for it is "bacterial SSU rRNA". It matches the Rfam family "Bacterial small subunit ribosomal RNA", at positions 29 to 507 of the family's 1533-position model. The record is from RNAcentral.